Long non-coding RNA from Silurus meridionalis, 288 nucleotides. RefSeq lists it as uncharacterized. NCBI's taxonomy places the organism in Eukaryota, Metazoa, Chordata, Actinopteri, Siluriformes, Siluridae. The record is from RefSeq and is a predicted model, not a curated record. The transcript is spliced from 3 exons.
GCCGCAAUCCUCGUUCAGCUCCACUGGUUUGCUCCACCCUUCUGCAGUGCUGAUAGUCGCUACUAUUAGCUUUUUCUUUUCUGGCUAGACGUGUUCGUGUUCGUCUGUGUGUUACUGUUUUUUAUUAUCAUUAUUAAUAACACUGGAAAGAUGUAUCGAGUUUGGACCCGAGUGGGUGCGAGAGCAGCAGGGAGAUUUGGACUUGAACCAGGUACGACUGCAGUGAGGAGCUCUGUUGUUGUUAGUUAUAAGGCAAAAUCUUUACUCUUCCAAAAAUCUAAGCAAAAA